GAUGAAGAACGUAGCGAAAUGCGAUAAGUAAUGUGAAUUGCAGAAUUCAGUGAAUCAUCGAAUCUUUGAACGCACAUUGCGCCCGUCAGUAUUCUGGCGGGCAAGCCUGUUCGAGCGUCAUUACGCCCCUCAAGUCCCCUGUGGACUUGGUGUUGGGGAUCGGCGAGGCUGGUUUUCCAGCACAGCCGUCCCUUAAAUUAAUUGGCGGUCUCGCCGUGGCCCUCCUCUGCGCAGUAGUAAAACACUCGCAACAGGAGCCCGGCGCGGUCCACUGCCGUAAAACCCCCCAACUUUUUAUAGUUGACCUCGAAUCAGGUAGGACUACCCGCUGAACUUAAGCAUAUCAAUAAGCGGAGGA
Molecule: unclassified non-coding RNA, 358 nt
Filed under: soil metagenome
Description: partial contains 5.8S ribosomal RNA, internal transcribed spacer 2, and large subunit ribosomal RNA
Rfam family: 5.8S ribosomal RNA (bases 1-120)
Source: RNAcentral